AUUGAACGCUAGCGGCAGGCCUAACACAUGCAAGUCGAACGAGUGGCGGACGGGUGAGUAAUGUCUGGGAAACUGCCUGAUGGAGUGGGAUAACUACUAGAAACGGUAGCUAAUACCGCAUACCAUCGCAUUUGCCCCGAUGGGAUUAGCUAGGAGGUGGGGUAAAGUCUCACCUAGGCGACGAUCCCUAGCUGGUCUGAGAGGAUGACCAGCCAAACUGGAACUGAGACACGGUUCAGACUCCGACGGGAGGCAGCAGUGGGGAAUAUUGCACAAUGGGCGCAAGCCUGAUGCAGCCAUGCCGCGUGUAUGAAGAAGGCCUUCGGGUUGUAAAGUACUUUCAGCGGGGAGGCGUUACCCGCAGAAGAAGCACCGGCUAACUCCGUGCCAGCAGCCGCGGUAAUUC
RNAcentral lists this ribosomal RNA (406 nucleotides) under uncultured bacterium. RNAcentral's name for it is "partial 16S ribosomal RNA". It matches the Rfam family "Bacterial small subunit ribosomal RNA", at positions 30 to 526 of the family's 1533-position model. The record is from RNAcentral.